GACGAACGCUGGCGGCGUGCUUAACACAUGCAAGUCGAACGGUGAAGCCCAUCGGGGUGGAUCAGUGGCGAACGGGUGAGUAACACGUGAGCAACCUGCCCCUGACUCUGGGAUAACUACCGGAAACGGUGGCUAAUACCGGAUAUUACUUGCCUGGGCAUCUGGGUGGGUGGAAAGUUUUUCGGUUGGGGAUGGGCUCGCGGCCUAUCAGCUUGUUGGUGGGGUGAUGGCCUACCAAGGCGACGACGGGUAGCCGGCCUGAGAGGGCGACCGGGCACACUGGGACUGAGACACGGCCCAGAUUCCUACGGGAGGCAGCAGUGGGGAAUAUUGCGCAAUGGGCGAAAGCCUGACGCAGCGACGCCGCGUGGGGGAUGAAGGCCUUCGGGUUGUAAACCUCUUUCAGCAGGGAAGAAGCGUGAGUGACGGUACCUGCAGAAGAAGCACCGGCUAACUACGUGCCAGCAGCCGCCGUAA
This 477-nucleotide ribosomal RNA is filed under the name uncultured bacterium. RNAcentral's name for it is "partial 16S ribosomal RNA". It matches the Rfam family "Bacterial small subunit ribosomal RNA", at positions 28 to 523 of the family's 1533-position model. The record is from RNAcentral.